UACAGGGGAUGCAAGUGUUAUCCGGAAUUAUUGGGCGUAAAGGGAGCGUAGGUGGAUAUUUAAGUGGGAUGUGAAAUACUCGGGCUCAACCUGAGUGCUGCAUUCCAAACUGGAUAUCUAGAGUACAGGAGAGGAAAGUAGAAUUCCUAGUGUAGCGGUGAAAUGCGUAGAGAUUAGGAAGAAUACCAGUGGCGAAGGCGACUUUCUGGACUGUAACUGACACUGAGGCUCGAAAGCGUGGGGAGCAAACAGG
Molecule: ribosomal RNA, 253 nt
Filed under: uncultured bacterium
Lineage: Bacteria
Description: partial 16S ribosomal RNA
Rfam family: Bacterial small subunit ribosomal RNA
Source: RNAcentral